RNAcentral lists this ribosomal RNA (495 nucleotides) under uncultured bacterium. RNAcentral's name for it is "partial 16S ribosomal RNA". It matches the Rfam family "Bacterial small subunit ribosomal RNA", at positions 29 to 506 of the family's 1533-position model. The record is from RNAcentral.
AUGAACGCUGGCGGCGUGCCUAAUACAUGCCAGUCGAGCGAACAGACGAGGAGCUUGCUCCUCUGACGUUAGCGGCGGACGGGUGAGUAACACGUGGAUAACCUACCUAUAAGACUGGGAUAACUUCGGGAAACCGGAGCUAAUACCGGAUAAUAUAUUGAACCGCAUGGUUCAAUAGUGAAAGACGGUUUUGCUGUCACUUAUAGAUGGAUCCGCGCCGCAUUAGCUAGUUGGUAAGGUAACGGCUUACCAAGGCGACGAUGCGUAGCCGACCUGAGAGGGGGAUCGGCCACACUGGAACUGAGACACGGUCCAGACUCCUACGGGAGGCAGCAGUAGGGAAUCUUCCGCAAUGGGCGAAAGCCUGACGGAGCAACGCCGCGUGAGUGAUGAAGGUCUUCGGAUCGUAAAACUCUGUUAUUAGGGAAGAACAAAUGUGUAAGUAACUAUGCACGUCUUGACGGUACCUAAUCAGAAAGCCACGGCUAACUACGU